AUGGCCAGAUUAAAGACUGCAAGCUGGCAAGUUCUUCCUUUCGAUUUCUCAAUCGUUAGGUUAUGGAUCAUCUCCCCCUUGCUAGCAGAUACGAAGUACAGAAAAUUUUGUGACCAGAUACGAAAUACAGAUACAAAAAGACCAGCCAAUGGUCUACAUUCCACGCGCUUCCUUCUUGAAGCCAGUCUGACUGCCAAACUGGAAAUCCACAUAUACGGCCAUUGGAAUCGAUCCCACAAAACAACAGAAGCAUGUGUUGUGACUAAUCUGCCAUGGGCAAUUUCAAAGGAAAAAACACGCUACAUUCACAGGUCAGCCAACUGA
This 324-nucleotide ribosomal RNA is filed under the name Triticum aestivum (bread wheat). RNAcentral describes it as "partial small subunit ribosomal RNA". Lineage: Eukaryota; Viridiplantae; Streptophyta; Magnoliopsida; Poales; Poaceae. The record is from RNAcentral.